This 73-nucleotide transfer RNA is filed under the name Albimonas donghaensis. It matches the Rfam family "tRNA". From Rfam's summary of the family: Transfer RNA (tRNA) molecules are approximately 80 nucleotides in length. Their secondary structure includes four short double-helical elements and three loops (D, anti-codon, and T loops). Further hydrogen bonds mediate the characteristic L-shaped molecular structure. tRNAs have two regions of fundamental functional importance: the anti-codon, which is responsible for specific mRNA codon recognition, and the 3' end, to which the tRNAs corresponding amino acid is attached (by aminoacyl-tRNA synthetases). tRNAs cope with the degeneracy of the genetic code in two manners: having more than one tRNA (with a specific anti-codon) for a particular amino acid; and 'wobble' base-pairing, i.e. permitting non-standard base-pairing at the 3rd anti-codon position. Lineage: Bacteria; Pseudomonadati; Pseudomonadota; Alphaproteobacteria; Rhodobacterales; Paracoccaceae. RNAcentral also lists the same sequence under 3 other names. The record is from Rfam by way of RNAcentral.
GGGGCCAUAGCUCAGCUGGGAGAGCGCUUGCAUGGCAUGCAAGAGGUCGGGAGUUCGAUCCUCCCUGGCUCCA